Molecule: long non-coding RNA, 1667 nt
Organism: Gallus gallus (chicken)
Lineage: Eukaryota; Metazoa; Chordata; Aves; Galliformes; Phasianidae
Source: Ensembl
CCACCCACCACAUCCCAUCGACCCCACACUGUGCCCCAUUGACCCCACCCUUAACCCCAUAUCCCCCCCUGCCCCCAUAACCCCAACUGUCCCCCCCUUCCUCCCCCAUCCGGCCCCACAGACCCCAUUGCUGCCCCCCCUUUGGUUCUCACUCACCUGAGCACCCCCUAUAGGUGGGGGUCCGACCCCAUAAGCGCCCCCCGGGAUCCCAUAGGACACAGUGGGGGCCGGGGGGGGGCCGGGCCAGGAGAGAGCGGCAGAUGGGGACGGGAUGGGGGCGCCUGUGGGGAGAGGGGGUGGGGGAUAUGGGAUAUAGGAUAGGGGAUAUAGGAUAUGGGAUAUGGGGUGUGGGAUAUGGGAUGUGGGAUAUGGGAUGUGGGGGUGGGAUGUGGGAGGUGGGAUAUGGGGGUGUGGGGUUGGGGUGGGGGAUAUGGGGUGUGGGGUGGGGGAUAUGGGGUGUGGGAUAUGGGAGGUGGGAUACAGGAUAUAGGAUAUGGGAUAUAGGAUAUGGGGGUGGGAUGUGGGAGGAGGGGUAUAGGAUAUGGGAUGUGGGAUAUGGGGGGUGGGGUUGGGGUGGGGGAUAUGGGGUGUGGGAUAUGGGGUGUGGGGUUGGGGUGGGGGAUAUGGGGUGUGGGGUGGGGGAUAUGGGAUAUAGGAUAUGGGAUAUGGGGGGGGGACGUGGGAUGUAGCAUGUAGGAUAUAGGAUAUGAGGGUGGGAGGUGGGAUAUGGGAUAUAGGAUAUGGGAUGUGGGAUAUGGGGGGUGGGGUUGGGGUGGGGGAUAUGGGGGUGGGAUAUGGGAUAUGGAGUGUGGGAUAUGGGGUCUAUAGAAUGUAAGAGCUAUAGGAUAUAGGAUCCAUAGGAUAUAGGUCCAUAAGAUAUAGGGGCUAUAGGAUAUAGGGUCCAUAGGAUAUAGGGCUAUAGGAUAUAGGGGCUAUGGGGGCUAUAGGGACCAUAGGGUCUCUAGAGGAUAUAGGGGCUAUAGGACAUGGGCUAUAGGAUAUAGGGUCCAUAGGAUAUAGGGGCUAUAGGAUAUAGGAGCUAUAGGGUCUAUAGGAAAUAGGGUCUGUAGAAAAUAAGGUCUAUAGGAUAUAGGGGCCAUAGGAUAUAGGGUCUAUAGGGUCCAUAGAAUAUAGGGUCUAUAGCAUAUAGGGUCCAUAGGAUAUAGGGGCUAUAGGGUCUAUAGGAAAUAGGGUCUGUAGGAAAUAAGGUCUAUAGGAUAUAGGGGCUAUAGAAUAUAGGAUCUAUAGGAUAUAGGGGCUAUAGGAUAUAGGGGUAUAGGAUAUAGGGGCCAUCGGAUAUAAGGGCUAUAGGGUCGAUAGGAAAUCGGGUCUAUAGGAUGUAUAGGGGCUAUAGGAUAUAGGCUGUAUAGGAUAUAGGGGCUAUAGGAUAUAGGGGCUACAGGAUAUAGGGGUAUAGGAUAUAGGGGCUAUAGGAUAUAGGGUCCAUAGGAUAUAGGGUCCAUAGGAUAUAGGGGCUAUAGGGUGUUUGGGGUCUAUAGGGCGCAUGGGGUCUCUGGGUGUGCCCACUCACCGCCGCUGUCCCCGUGGCUCCGCCCCCGCGCCCCCCGCCCGCCCCGCAUCCCCUCCAGGAGUUCCUUCACCGUGCGGGGGGGGGGCGGCGGCGCGCGCCCACCUGCGUGGGGAUGGGGGGGGGGGGGGGGGGGGGG